RNAcentral lists this ribosomal RNA (468 nucleotides) under uncultured bacterium. RNAcentral describes it as "partial 16S ribosomal RNA". It matches the Rfam family "Bacterial small subunit ribosomal RNA", at positions 28 to 507 of the family's 1533-position model. The record is from RNAcentral.
GACGAACGCUGGCGGCGUGCUUAACACAUGCAAGUCUAACGGAAAGGCCCUGCUUUUGUGGCUUGCUCGAGUGGCGAACUGGUGAGUAACACGUGAGUAACCUGCCCUUGACUUUGUGAUAACUUCAGGCAACUGGUGCUACUACCGGAUAGGAGCUCCUCCUGCAUGGUGGGGGUUGGAAAGUUUAGGUGCGUGGGGAUGGACCCGCGGCUUAUCAGCUUGUUGGUGUGGUAGUCGGUUACCAAGGGUUUGACGGGUGGCCGGGCUGAGAGGGUGAGCGGGGACAUUGGGGGAGAGAGACGGCGCAGACACCUACGGGAGGCAGAGGAGGGGAGAAUAGUGGAAUGGGGGGAAGACUGAUGCAGAAAAGCCGUGUGCGGGAGAAGGGGGUUCGGGGAGUAAAAAGCGUUCGCAGGUGACGAGGAGAGAGUGACGGUAAUGGGAAAAGAAGCAACGGCUAAAUACGUG